RNAcentral lists this ribosomal RNA (465 nucleotides) under uncultured Longilinea sp. RNAcentral describes it as "bacterial SSU rRNA". It matches the Rfam family "Bacterial small subunit ribosomal RNA", at positions 917 to 1382 of the family's 1533-position model. The record is from RNAcentral. Lineage: Bacteria; Bacillati; Chloroflexota; Anaerolineae; Anaerolineales; Anaerolineaceae.
GGGCCCGCACAAGCAGCGGAGCGUGUGGUUAAUUCGAUGCUACACGAAGAACCUUACCAGGGUUUGACAUGCUAGUGGUAGGAACCGAAAGGUGACCGACCCUUCGGGGAGCUAGCACAGGUGCUGCAUGGCUGUCGUCAGCUCGUGUCGUGAGAUGUUGGGUUAAGUCCCGCAACGAGCGCAACCCUUAUCUUUAAUUGCCAGCAUUCAGUUGGGCACUUUAAAGAGACUGCCGGUGUUAAACCGGAGGAAGGUGGGGAUGACGUCAAGUCCUCAUGGCCUUUAUGCUUAGGGCUACACACGUGCUACAAUGGGUGGUACAAAGAGCAGCUAACUCGCGAGAGUAUGCAAAUCUCAAAAAGCCAUCCUCAGUUCGGAUUGGAGUCUGCAACUCGACUCCAUGAAGUUGGAAUCGCUAGUAAUCGCGGAUCAGCAUGCCCGCGGUCGAAUACGUUCCCGGGCCUU